GCAUCGAUGAUUCCGUGAUAGAAUACUCGUUUCUUAAUCGAGUGACCCGGGUUCUAUUCCCGGUCUGUGCA
Trichonephila clavata is the source of this 71-nucleotide non-coding RNA. The record is from the annotation of a GenBank genome assembly. NCBI's taxonomy places the organism in Eukaryota, Metazoa, Arthropoda, Arachnida, Araneae, Nephilidae.